AUUGAACGCUGGCGGCAGGCCUAACACAUGCCAGUCGAGCGGAUGAAGGGAGCUUGCUCCUGGAUUCAGCGGCGGACGGGUGAGUAAUGCCUAGGAAUCUGCCUGGUAGUGGGGGAUAACGUCCGGAAACGGGCGCUAAUACCGCAUACGUCCUGAAGGAGAAAGUGGGGGAUCUUCGGACCUCACGCUAUCAGAUGAGCCUAGGUCGGAUUAGCUAGUUGGUGGGGUAAAGGCCUACCAAGGCGACGAUCCGUAACUGGUCUGAGAGGAUGAUCAGUCACACUGGAACUGAGACACGGUCCAGACUCCUACGGGAGGCAGCAGUGGGGAAUAUUGGACAAUGGGCGAAAGCCUGAUCCAGCCAUGCCGCGUGUGUGAAGAAGGUCUUCGGAUUGUAAAGCACUUUAAGUUGGGAGGAAGGGCAGUAAGUUAAUACCUUGCUGUUUUGACGUUACCAACAGAAUAAGCACCGGCUAACUUCGUG
Molecule: ribosomal RNA, 484 nt
Filed under: uncultured bacterium
Lineage: Bacteria
Description: partial 16S ribosomal RNA
Rfam family: Bacterial small subunit ribosomal RNA
Source: RNAcentral